GCAAAGUGAAAUUGAAAAUGUCUGACUUGCUUAUAGGGUAAUCAAAAUUGAGCCUCUAAGGGUCCCCAAAUAACCUUGUCCAGGGCCUCAAUAACCCUAAGGUCACUGCUGAUGAGGCCUUGGGCCAGACUCCAGAGGAUGCUUUGCAGCAGGUCAAGAAAUUGAAGGCAUUUCCAGUGCCUGGACUGGCACCUGCAAGCAGCUCUGACACCCUUAAGCAAUGUCCCCAACUUCUAGGGAGGGACUGGAGCAAUGAUGCUUUAUUGGAGAACUUUCCUCCGCUUCUACACAGGCAUUACUUGGCAAUUUUGCAUGGCCUUUUUUCCUGUGGAGAAACAGGACAACAGACCUAAAGAGAAAUGCUGUUGCAUUCAGCGUUUCAACCUCACAGGGCAAAACAGAGACUUUGCCAAAAGCAAGGCAAAGGAAACGCUGAGGUGUGGCAGGGGCUAAAUCCCUCUAGCACAGAGGGACGGGGGUUCAAACAGAAGCUGCCAGGCGUUGAGGCACAGCACUGAGAUUAAAAAAAAGUGCGGGAGGUUAUGAACAAGUAGAGGCUGUUGGAGACCCUGCAGGGUCCCUCUGUGAGCUGAAAAGGGCCAGGGCCAGGGGCUGGCUGGAGGAGGAUGAAGCGACAGCAGCAGGUCUGGCAGCAGAGGGAGUCCUAGGCUGAGGCUGGAACAGGCUGGGUUAGUGGUCCCAGGCAGUCGCGGGAAAAGCCGUUACACCCUUACAUGCAAAAGCAGCCCCGCGGCACGUGCUGGCUAGCCCCCGUCCCACCGGCCUCGCGCGCUCCCCGCGCCUGCGCAGUCCCGCGGCGUGACGUCAGUGUCAGCUGGGCGCGCAGACGGUGGCCGAGUUCCGGGGUGUGGGUGUGGGAGAGGAAGGGGAAGGGCACAGCCUGGCUGGGACUUUGGUCGCUGCGGGACGUGGAGCCGGGACCCUCCACCUUUCCCCGAGUUUGGAUUGACAACAUUCAGAGCUUCAAGGACAUUAACCAGUGCCUGGUAAACUUGAGAAUACAGAUAAGGAACAAGUGGAGAUGUUGGGGAACACAGUGAUGUUACCGUAAAGCAUGAGAAGGUGGCUCAGGAAUGAAGGAUAUUUUUGAGGCAAGAAAGGAUGAUAGAGAAGGAGUAAGAGAAUUAGCAAGCUAAAAGAGGGAAGCAUGGUAACUAGCCGCCAGAGCAGGUGAUAUAGAUGGUGAUGGGUACUGUGGCAGCUCAUGGCCACUACUGAACAGGCUAAUGUUGGACACAGUAAGCUCUAUCAAAGCUGCCAGUCACUUGUUUUCAUCAGUCUCCUGUGUGGAACAGUCUCAAGAUUCAGCAGCUCUGUAUUUUACAGAUCCUUGAAGUGAGUGAGAACCACAGCUAAAGCUCCUUCCAUCUGGAGGAAACACAACUUCCUUCAGAAACAGAGCUCUUUCUAUUUCUUUAAAUGCUAGGCUUAUUAUACUACUUUAUCUCCAAAACAUUUAUAAAAAGGAAAGGCCAUUCACUGUAGCUGGAAGCCUUCCUCAGCCCUUAGAUUAAAUCUCUGAUCCCUCCCACUUUUUUACACAGUUUUCAGUUGCUUUUUUGUUCAGCUUGUACUUCAAAGGCCAUAAAGUAAUGUUGAAGCUACUGUGCUUUCACAUAAGGAAACUUUCGUGUUUUCAAGGGAAAGGUUUAGAGAGAUGUCAUCCUGUAUUACCCUUGUGCCCUCCAAAACAGUGGCUGUAUGUAAGAAAAAAGUGAUACAAGAAGGUUUAAAUUUAAUUUGUUUUGUUUUUGUUUACUCAUUUUGGUAUAGUGUUCUUCCAUGUGAGUAGUUUUAUGGAUGAUUACUGCAUUUUAUUGGCUUAAUGUAACAGUAAAACAUUUUUGGAAAACAGAUUUUCUGGAUUUAAAUUUGUAAUUAAGAAUUUGAGCGUAAGGUUCCUCAAAUGCUAUGUACUAGAACUUAAUAAGUGUAAUAAGAAUUUCCUUUUUUUCCUGCUCCCCUUCCCACUGAACCUUCAAAAAGUAUCCAGUUGAAUAAUUUCUGAAAAAGAAGACUUGUUGCUUCAACAUGCUAUUU
Molecule: long non-coding RNA, 2061 nt
Organism: Crocodylus porosus (Australian saltwater crocodile)
Lineage: Eukaryota; Metazoa; Chordata; Crocodylia; Crocodylidae
Source: Ensembl